AAAAAAAAAAAAAAAGAAAAAAAGCGCCAUUAGCUCUACGCCUCUCAUCAUCUCCAUCCAUCCUUCAUUCUGCUACCGGGAAACGCACUGUGCAGAGAGCUGUAAUCGACUGCUCUCUCUCUCUUCUCUCUCGCUCGAGCUGAUGUUGACGAGCCCUCGACCUCCCGCUUUCUUUCUCCACUCGCAGCGCUCCGCCACCUUCUCUUCCCCCAAGUCGUCCCCUUUGCUGGCUUCGAGUGAACCGUCGGGAAUCGGAUUGAGGGCGCCAUCUCUUCACGUGCAAUGCCGCCGCGUCAUCUCGUCACCUAACGUCGAGUUCGAACCGGGUGAGUGGCUCUCAGAGACAAUUCAUCAAACGGUUGAUGUCCAUGAACGCAAUUUGAAAUAUUUGAUCGAACUCCUCGUUAAAAGUCUUGCCUUUUCAGGGGCGUUGGAUGUGUUGUUUCAAGAACUCGGGCUCAACGAGAGAGAGACCGAAUCUCUCUUGACCAGGGACCCGGAUUUGAGGCUGAAGUCUAUCGGUUCGUUGCGGGCUCGCGUCGCCUCUUUGAAAUCGGUCGGAAUCAGUGGCCUUGAGCUCUGCCAUUUGGUUGUGAAAUGCCCUUCUGUGUUGGCAGCAGGUGAAAUCGAUCCCUUUAUACUCUUCGUGCGCGACCAAUUAGAUGGAAAGGUUGACCCAAUGCAGCUUAAGCGUCUCUUUAUGUCAACUGAGCCGCGAUUCCUAGCUGGAUUUGAGGAAAAAGUUAAUUUGCUGACUGACAGUGGGAUUCCUAGAGAAAAGAUUGUUCAUGUUCUCAACAAUGUGAAUUUAACGAAGGCUUUGUCUCUUAAGCCGUUUGAAGAAAUUGAAAGGCUCCUUAAUUUCUUGAGCCGCUAUGGUGGGGUUGAUUUGAUCGUGAGGCAUCCCCCCAUUCUUAACUUCGAUAUGGAUACCCAUUUGAUUCCGAGAGUGGAGUUUCUCCUAGAACUUAGCGGAGGAGAUGAGGAUGCAACCGGGGCAGUGUUGCGCAAACUGCCUACCUUUUUGAAAUACCGUGUGGAACACUUGGAAAGCCAUGUAGAGUUCUUGAGGUCAUUUGCGGGAUUAGAUGAUCAAGAAAUAUUCAGGAUCAUUCUUGUGUUUCCUAACAUUGUUAGUGCGAGCAGGGAGAGGAAAUUGCGUCCCAGAAUUAGCUUUCUCAAAGAAUGUGGACUCAACUCCAAUGAGAUUUUCAAGUUCUUGACAAAAGCUCCUUUGUUUUUGGGUCUAUCUUUUGAGGGCAACAUUGCUUAUAAGCUGGGUUUUUUGGUGAAGAUUGGUUACAAGUACAGAACAAAGGAAUUUGCAGUUGCAAUAGGCGCUGUGACUAGGGCAAGUUGUGAGAAUAUGCAGAAGGUGAUUGAGCUCUUCUUGAGUUAUGGGUUUUCUUGUGAAGAUGUGCUUCUCAUGAGUAGGAAGCAUCCUCAGAUACUUCAAUACAAUCCUGAUUCUCUGGAGGAGAAAGUGGAAUAUUUGGUGGGGGAGAUGGGACGUGACCUUGAAAAGCUAUUGGAUUUCCCUGCAUUUCUUGGUUACAAACUCGACAGUAGAAUCAAGCAUAGGUAUGAGGUGAAGAAGAAGAUUAUAGGUGAAGGGAUGUCGAUCAACAAGCUGCUUAAUGUUUCGUUUGAGAGAUUUGCAAAGAAGAAGGUAGAAAAGUUGGUGCACAAACCUAAAAAUUAGGGGUUGCUCAAUUUCAUCAGCAGAAGUUCAUGGCAAAAUUGAUGGAAAUUGCAUAGUUACUGAGUAUUCUCAAAGCUUCAUUAGUCGAAGGCUUUUGGUUUUUUCAGGCGAAAUUCUGGCUUUGACUUCCUUAGGUGAAGAUAGAAAGUCAUAUUUUUCAUCCCUAAACCUGCAAAGCCAUUAUUAAGUUCGAAGAAAAUGGUCGAUACCCAGUUGAAUGAAAUGACUGAGUAUGCUUUAUUUUAAGGUUAAAGCAACAAGAAAAGUGGCUGAUCUUUGUAUUUGUGUAACUGUCAUUUACAAAGGAAUCACCCUUUUGAUCGCAAUGUUUCUUUGGUUGCUCCCACAUUUUUCUGUUCUUAGUCCUGAAAUCUUUAAAAACGUGAUUUGACAUUGAAAAUAAUCUUGUCAAUGUGCAUGAGGCAUCAAGACAUGGUUGCCCUUGUUAUGCAAUAGAUUUCCUAAUCGGGAUUGUCAAAAUCAAUAAGUUAACUUGAUUGCAAGGCAUCUUUGAUGAGGACAGUCAUUUCACCUGUAGAAAUUGCAACAAAUAAUUGAGUGUUAAUUCUGUUGUCUCUGUUUGUGCUUUGAUUAAAUUACAUUCUGUAAAUUAUUACGACUGUUAGUUCAGGAUUAUCUCACAGGACUUUAUGAUCAUCAACAAAACCGAGGAUCUAUUAUCCUCAAGAGAUCUGCAAAGUUGUGGCAUUUAUGCAUAAUAGGUGCCAUUGGCAACUUCAUUCUUUCUCCCAUGCAACAUGAGGUUACACUUUGGAAUGGUGAAUUCCAAGACACCUUAAGAUGAAUAGCCAUACUGCUUCGAUGGUGGAAUAUAACCAUGGCAAGAUGGGGUGUGAAUCCUUUUAUGCUCAUGGCACUGUGACUAGGACAAGUUGUGAGAAUAUGCAGAAGGUGAUUGAGCUCUUCUAGAGUUAUGAGUUUUCCUAUGAAGACGUGCUUCUCAUGAGUAAGAAGCAUCCUCAGAUACUUCAAUACAAUCCUGAUUCUCUGGAGGAGUAAGUGCAGUACUUGGUAGGGUGGAUUGGACACGGCCUUGACGAGCAAUUAGAUUUCCCUGCAUUCCUUGAUCACAAACUCGACAGUGGAAUUAAGCACAGGUACCAGGGGAAGAAGAAGAUUAUAGGUAAGGUGAAGGAAUGUCACUCAACAAGCUGCUUUGUGUUUCAUCUGAGAGAUUUGCAGAGAAACUUGAAGAGCUGGCGCACAAAGCCUAAAAAGUAAAAGGUUGCUAAGUUUCAUCCGCAGAAGUUCAUGGCCAAAGUGAUGGAAAUUGUACUGAAUUUUCUCAAAGCUUUACAAUUUCAAGGUUUUGCUGUUUUAUUUUUCCCAGGGUAAAAUUCUGGCUGGGACUUCCUUAGGUGAAGAUAGAAAGUCAUUAUUUCAUCCCUAAACUUGCAAAGCCAUCAUGGUUGAUACCCAGUUGUUAGAAAUGACUGAGUAUUCUCAAUUUGAAUGUUAAGCAACAAGAAAAGUGGCUCAUCUUUGUAUUUGUGUAAUUGUCGAUUCUAAUGGAAUCCACCUUUUAAUUGAUGGCAAUAUUUCUUUGGUUGUUCUCACAUUUUUCUGUUCUUAGUCCUGAAAUCUUGAAAAAUGUGACUCGAAAUGGAAGAGAAUCUUGUCAAUGUGCAUGAGGCGUCAAGACAUGGUUGCCUUUGUUAUGCAAUUCAGGAUAGACUUCCUACUUAUUGAACAGGGAUGGCCAGAAUCAGUGAGUUAACUUGAUUGAAAGAAAUCUAUGAUCAAGAGAGUCAUUUUACCAAUAGAAAUUACAAUAUGUAAGUGUUAAUACAGUUCUCUCUGAUCUGUUAUUUGAUUAAAUUACAUUAUUUCCAUAAACGUUACAACUGUGAUUUCAGGAUUACCUCUGGACAUAUCAUCAUCAACAACACUGAGAAUCAAUUAUCCUCAAGAUAUCUUCAAAGGCGUGGCAUUUAUACAUAAUAGAUACCAUUGGCAAGUCCAUUCUUUCUCCUAUGUGACUUCAACACAGGUUAGUCUUUGGAUUAACGAAUUGAAAGACGCCUUAAGUUGAAGUAGCCAUAGUGCUUGGUGGUGGAAUAUAACCAUGCAAGGUAAGAAAUCCGGUAUCAGUGAGAUUGCAACGAUAACUGAGUUAUGCAAACUCAUCAUAUGCAGUUUUGCACAUUGAUAUUCUUAGUGCGUGACCUCAGUCCACUGCAUUUGUUAAGAAUGAUCCUAUGUUUGGUAAUCCUGAAUUGCAUGUCCUGGGAGAAGAAAUAAGAAAAAAAAUAUAUUCUGAUACAUGCUGACAUAGUCUCGUGGUGUUGCGUCAAGACUGAUAUACUAUGUAUUGACAUGAAGAAAAAUUAAUUUAGAAAAGUUUGAAUGUUCUGCCAGAGUGAAUUGGAGGAAAAAGGAAAAAAAUUUCUUCACCCACCUCCUUUUUCCUCUUUCCUGCCUCUCCCAAAUGAAGCAUUAAAAUAGUAUCAAAAGAUCAUGCCCCGCUAAAGUGUAGAAGUGCCAAAUUAACCAGAUAACUUUCUUGAAAUUUCCAGAUAACAUAUAGGGUGUGAAUUCUUUUAUGCCCAUUCAGUGAGUCCUUAUGCUAACCUAUUUUAUACUUUUAACUGUCUACAAAUUCUCAUUUUAUUUUACUCUGUCCUAGUUAUAUUUUUGCAGAUGAUUGUAUUGCAAGUGUUGAAAAAACAUAAGAAAUCACUGCAGACAAGAACAGAUCAUUGAACUUAUAUAACAAGCAAUGGAGUUAUUGUUGCACUCGAAAGAACACACGAGUGGACCUAUGUAACACGGUUUCGUGGUAUUGUAUCAAAAUUGAUGUGCUAUGUCAUGACAUGGAGAAGAAGUUGUUUUGAGGUAGGCUAGUUUUUGUUUUUGAUCUUGUUCCUCGAAACUAUAUGUCAAUUUUCUUAUGAUUGUGACUCGAGCGGUGAAGGAGGGAGUCGGAGAAGAAGGGAGAAGGAAACAAAUGAAGAAGAAGAUAAGAAAAAAGAUG
Molecule: RNA transcript, 4697 nt
Organism: Eucalyptus grandis
Lineage: Eukaryota; Viridiplantae; Streptophyta; Magnoliopsida; Myrtales; Myrtaceae
Gene name: transcription termination factor MTERF8, chloroplastic-like
Exons: 2
Source: RefSeq, a predicted model, not a curated record